RNAcentral lists this ribosomal RNA (421 nucleotides) under uncultured bacterium. Its description in RNAcentral is "bacterial SSU rRNA". It matches the Rfam family "Bacterial small subunit ribosomal RNA", at positions 917 to 1341 of the family's 1533-position model. The record is from RNAcentral.
GGGCCCGCACAAGCGGUGGAGCAUGUGGUUUAAUUCGAUGAUACGCGAGGAACCUUACCAGGGCUUAAAUGUAAGUUGCAUUAGUUAGAGAUAGCUAUUUCUUCGGACCACUUACAAGGUGCUGCAUGGUUGUCGUCAGCUCGUGCCGUGAGGUGUCAGGUUAAGUCCUAUAACGAGCGCAACCCCUGUUGUUAGUUGCCAGCGAGUCAUGUCGGGAACUCUAACAAGACUGCCGGUGCAAACCGUGAGGAAGGUGGGGAUGACGUCAAAUCAUCACGGCCCUUACGUCCUGGGCUACACACGUGCUACAAUGGUCGGUACAGAGAGCAGCCACUACGCGAGUAGGAGCGAAUCUUCAAAGCCGAUCACAGUUCGGAUCGGAGUCUGCAACUCGACUGCAUGAAGUCGGAAUCGCUAGUAA